GCUGCUGUGAGCACAGAUGCUUCUGGGAAGGAUACCCAUCAAUGUGAGCCCAACAUCUGGGAUUCUCACAGCCCACAGGCUCCUUACGAUUACUGCUGUAGCAGAAAUGCUAAGUCACAGCCUGAAACAGUGAUUGAUUGAGCACCUGGUGGAAGGCAGGGCCAGCCCAGGGGAGCUCAGGUGCGUGCAAUGUACGUGAGUGAAUGGAAUGGGUGAAGCCAGGAUCCACCCCUUCCCAGCCCUCAUUUAAGGGCUGACAGGGAGGGCAAGGGCAUUUCUUGUUGGGGGUCCCUGCAUACUUGAGAUCUGCUGAAGGAAGAAGCUGCACUGCUCCUGCUCAGACACGACAUUAUCAUUUCUGCUGGAAAAGCCAAUACUCUGCACCCUGCUGUGAACCCCUCUUGUAAAUUCACAGCACAGACAGGUCAGUCAGUAACAGGAAUCAGAGAGGAUGGGGAGCUGGAACCUGCUCUGUGUUAUGGUGAUGCUUAUCUUGGGCAACCCAUGGAUUUCAAUGGAACUGCUGCAGAUUUAUGCCAGCUAAUUGGAAGCAGAGUUUGACCCAGGCUCUGGAAAGGCAUCUACUGAAUUCUGGGUCCAACACAGAAGGGAAAAAGCCCUCCAUAUGCACACCUUUGCUGAAGACCUGCAAGAGGUAAUUUGCAAAACUGCUUUGCUGCACCACUCUGUGAUGCCCUACUUGCGAUGCGAGGCUGAGCCAGCACCUUUUCACUGGGAGUACGGAUGCUGAUUUGCUUUACCUCUAUGAAUGCAGCGGAACAAAUCUCCCUGCCUCUCUCCACCUCUAACUGGAGCCACAUUACAGACCACAAAGACUGGAUGUGCAAACCAGCAGUUACCACAAGUCGUAUUCUGCAGUGGGAGCCUUGUGGCAGCAAGGUGCAAUGGGCACUAACUCUCACUGAGGCAUGAGCCCCAUCUGGGCCCCCCCACCGUGGGUACUCACCCUUGGCUUUGCCUCGAUGUUCUCACGCAGGAGCCACUCCUCAUUGAGGGUGUAUCUGGCCUUCCCUGUGAUGGCAUCAAUGGAGCCUUUGUUAAUCUGCUGCUUGAUGGCACAGAUCAGCAGGAAGAAUGGUUCUCCGACUGUCUCCUGGGGAAAGGGAGAGAAGUCCAUGUCAGCAACGGACCUGGUGGUGCAUCCAGGGCAGGCUCUGCACAGAAACCCAGGUUUAGAGAGACUCGGGGGUGCCAGGUUCCUAUUAAAGGUGCUGGCUGCAGUCCUCUUUGUGCUGCCUGGUUUGCCAUUGAGUUCUGUGAGAGUGAGGCCACGGUGUAGCCUGUGGCUCUGGGAAGCAGCACUCAUACUUGUCAUACCACAGCAGGGCCCUGAUUGCAGCAAAAGAUCAGAGUCAACCAUGUUGUUCCCACGCGACAACGAGCAAACAUGGCAGCUAACUCGUUACAUUUGUCAAACUUCAUCUUAUGGGAGAGCCGUGACUUGUGACAGCGCUGCCACAAAACAAGGAGCCGAACGGGGACCAGCGAUUUGUGACGCGGUUCAGCGGCGAGGAGUAAUGCCAGACUUCUGAUCUGCUUAUGUCUGUUACGCCGAUGUGCAAAUAAAAUACAAGUUAUUUGCUUAAAAAACACUUCAGUACUGGAGUGAAUCCCAUUCUCCCUAAUGUUCAUGUGCAAUUUCUUUCAGAUGAGGCAAAUGCAAAUUACUGCGCAUUCCUGUACUUCCCGACCAUCACACCCCUGUGCAGCCAUCGCUGCCAUCUGAAAUCCUGCUCAAGACAACAGAUAUCGGAUGGUUUUGGUAUUUCUCAGCUAGGAGCUGCUAAAUCCUGUUCAAUCUGCUUCUUAAUUAAGGCUCGGUGAUUCUUUUAUUCUAAUUGCCUUAUAAUUGCUGAAGCAAUUAGCUUGAUGUCAAUUUUGAUUCGGCUGCCUUCAGCGUUGGGGCUGCAGCAGGGCUGUGGGUGGGCAUGCACCAUCUGUGCCAUGGUGCACAUGCUUUAUUUUCCCAGGGCAGGGCUGGUAUGAGCGUGGGGCAGGUCCAUGAGCCUCCUGCCGGGAUGGAAGGAUUUCCUGCAACGCUCCCUCUGAGUGCACAGCAGUGCAUGGGCUCUGCAGUGCUGGACAAAAGGCAAUGAAACCUGUGAAGCUGUGGGAUGAAGGAGCUGAGGAGCAUGAGCAAAAUGCAGAAGACCCGGGAGCUGUGGGACGCAAUGGAGAUCUGCAAAAGCGCUAAUCAGACUGCAAGUUUCAAAGAGGGGAAAGAAGGGCUGGCAGGCAGCGGCUGCAGAUAAAACGGCAGGCCUGGAAACCUCAAGCACUGUUCAGAAAAUGCAUCUGGAAACGAACCAGCAGUGUCUCCAGAGCUACGUGGGGGGAAGUAAGUCCAACCAGAAGAGAUCAGUGCUGAUUCAGGACAAAAAUUAUUAAAAAAAAAAAAAAAACACAUGCUGGAGCUUUUUUUUUUUUUUACUCCUAUUGUGAGUGUAUCUUAAUGAGAUUUCAUUUUCAUUUUUGACUGAACCAUCACAGGCUCUUAAAGCUAUCCGGGGGAACUGCAAUAAGCUCUCAGUAAUGGAGCGCACAGCUCUGGCUGGCACUGCUUGGGCUGCUUCAUGUGUGGAGAGUGUGGGAGAUGAAGGUUUUAUGCUCUGGGGAAAAAGGUUCAGAGCGCAGACUGUCUCUGGUGUUGCUGCUCCAUUAACAAGGCCAACAAGUCAUCAGAGAUGUCCUCUGGGAACACUCUACAGUCACUUCAGAUGAGUCCUGGUGAGGCUGGAGUGAGGAAAACACAGAAAGCAGCUGCUUCUACCAGGUGCCAGCUAAUUUGGCUAUGAUUAUCUAUUUGUGUAAUGUGACAAAUACAAUCCCAGCUCCAUCCCCCAUGCAGAACUUUGGGAAGCUUGGACACAGGUCAGUGCUGCAUCCCAGAGCCUUGGCCUUUCACUCAGCCUUCAGUCCCCCAUCCCACCAGGCACGGGGCAGAACGGCACUGAGGUAUUGCACAAGGGAGACAGUUCUCAGCAUUUUCCAUUGGAGUGGUAGUGGAAAGUGCAGAUAGAGACCAUUUUAUGGCUGAUUCUCACACAGUUUUGCAGAAACCAAGAUCUGCAUCACUUGUGCAAAUGCUGCAAGUUUUACAGCCCUCUCUGAUUCCAACCCCAAGAAGCAAGUCUCCUGCUGCCUGCUCUGACAGCUCCUGCAUGCUGUCACCUUUCAGAGGGGCAAACCCUCUGCUUUCAGGUGCCCUCCACAUGUGCAGCUGUGGGUGGCUGUGGCCUGCCUCUUCUU
Long non-coding RNA from Gallus gallus (chicken), 3270 nucleotides. RefSeq lists it as uncharacterized. The transcript has 3 exons. Lineage: Eukaryota; Metazoa; Chordata; Aves; Galliformes; Phasianidae. The record is from RefSeq and is a predicted model, not a curated record.